RNAcentral lists this long non-coding RNA (315 nucleotides) under Olea europaea (common olive). RNAcentral's name for it is "long non-coding RNA (OEUR_LNC005843)". Lineage: Eukaryota; Viridiplantae; Streptophyta; Magnoliopsida; Lamiales; Oleaceae. The record is from RNAcentral.
AAAAAAAAUUUAUUUCUUCUAUUAUGAUAGGGUCUUAUAAAAACAGGAGAUUAUCAUGAAGUUAAAGCAGCACAUGUUGAGCUUGCAGAACGGAUGCGCAAGGUCAGAAGAGUUUAUUUCUUCUAUUAUGAUUUUCAUAACACCAUUACUGAAAAACAUGAAUUUAAAUAUGUUGCUGAAAGGAUCGUGGCACAGUACGUAUUCAACGAAAAAGGGUCACAUGGCGGCACAGAGUAUGGUGUUCUGCGGAAUUUGGUUCAUCUCAAACAUAUGCCAGGAUAAGCAAACAAAUUCAAUCAUCAAUAACAAAUUCAA